CAAAUUUCAUAAUUAUACAUAAGCCAUUUAAAUUGCAAUGUUCCAUCUUUAACAAAAACAAAAACUGUACGUGCAUCUUUGUUACAAAGAAAGUUGCACACAUAGCAAUAAAACGGGCUCUCCUUUGCUAUUCCUUCCAUAUUAUGUACCAUCGCCAUGCACUCUUCAAUGGAAGAUCGAGAUGAUAUAUGCAGAAUAUGAUGCAGCAAUCGAAGACAUUGAAUUUAAGGUAAUCUUAAUCUUAUCCUUCAGUGGACGCACCAGACUUCGUUCUUUCACAAUUAUCACAUAGGUUCAUUAUCAGUUCGAACAUGAAAUGAUUGCUUGCACUGUUGAUGCAAUUUCUAUUUCUAUUUGUGUGUUUGAAGGGAAACCAAAGAUAGGGGCCUAUGCUACUCUCAUUUCACUUGUACAAACAUCAGAGAAGAUCUUUAGAUUCUUCACAUAUACAGGCAGAGGCGGAGCCAACACCUGGCGAGGAGGCGCGGCCACACGUGCUAGCUCCCCUGUAAUGUUCGGGAGCCGUCGGACGGUAGAUGUGGGCAAUGGCAGAUUGACAGUUGCAGAGACGAAAGAGGGAAGAAGACUACUGAAAUUCUAUUUUAUCUUUUUUGGGCUAAUGACAAUUGACACACAUGGGCCUCUUUUUGUUUAAAAACAUUCCCCAAAUCAAUGAAUCAUGAUCAACAACAAAUGGCCCAAACCCCCAAUCCAAUUCCACGUAAUAAAAAGCAAACCGAGGCAAAUUUGAAACGGUAAGCAAACCCUUCUAAGCUCUAGUUGAAAUUUGAAAUCGCAAACCCUUUUAGUUGAAAUCAGUGAACUGUUUGCUGGCGACGGCUGACGGGCGAGGACAAGGAGUCGCCGUCGACAAUGUUUCCAAAUCUUCAAUCUCAAAAAUCAGAAUUUUCGAGCAGCCUGUAGUGGACUGGUGACUAGUGUGGUGAGUGUCUUUCUCAGUUUCUCUUACUCCCCUUCUCUCUUUUUUUGUUAUUUUUGUUUUUGUUCUAUAUGCUGACUUGUUGAAUGUUGAGUGUUGUUUGAUAUUUCUUUAAUUUGUAUUAUUGCUUAUUAAUCAGUGGACUUUGAAUCACAUUCAUUCACAUAAAAG
Molecule: long non-coding RNA, 1111 nt
Filed under: Olea europaea subsp. europaea
Lineage: Eukaryota; Viridiplantae; Streptophyta; Magnoliopsida; Lamiales; Oleaceae
Source: RNAcentral